GGUGGCUCAAUGGUAGAGCACUUGCCUUGCAUGCAUAAGCCUCUGGGUUCAAUUCCUCAGCACCA
This is a non-coding RNA of Dipodomys ordii (Ord's kangaroo rat), 65 nucleotides long. The record is from Rfam. NCBI's taxonomy places the organism in Eukaryota, Metazoa, Chordata, Mammalia, Rodentia, Heteromyidae.